RNAcentral lists this small RNA (635 nucleotides) under Tsebona macrantha. Its description in RNAcentral is "eukaryotic LSU rRNA". The stretch from base 228 to 383 matches the Rfam family "5.8S ribosomal RNA". Lineage: Eukaryota; Viridiplantae; Streptophyta; Magnoliopsida; Ericales; Sapotaceae. The record is from RNAcentral.
CACCCGCGAACUAGUAAUAAGCAACCACCGGGGGUCCUUGUGGCGGGCUUCAUUGCUGCCCCCACUCUCGGCCCCGUGCCAAGUGCGCUCCUGAACUGCGUUUCCUUGGCUAAAAACAAACCCCGGCGCGAAUUGCGUCAAGGUACUUUAACAAGAGAAGCAGUGCCCCCUGUUCUCGUUCGCGAGUGAAGUUACGGGGGGUCGCUGCAUCUUUUCAAGAACAUAACGACUCUCGGCAACGGAUAUCUCGGCUCUCGCAUCGAUGAAGAACGUAGCGAAAUGCGAUACUUGGUGUGAAUUGCAGAAUCCCGUGAACCAUCGAGUCUUUGAACGCAAGUUGCGCCCGAAGCCAUUAGGCCGAGGGCACGCCUGCCUGGGCGUCUCACAUCGCGUCGCCCCCCCACCCUGUGCCCGCAAAGGGUUCUUGGGUUGAUGGGGGGCGGAUUUUGGCCCCCCGUGCGCCCUCGUGCGCGGUCGGCCUAAAUAUAAGUCCCGGGCGACGAACGUCACGAUGAGUGGUGGAUGUGAUACCGUUGCGUCAUGUCGUGCACGUCUCGUCCCUGCGGGCUGUCUUGUUUUUGACCCUAAAGCACCGUUUCCACGGGAGCCUCGACCGCGACCCCAGGUCAGGCGGG